Molecule: non-coding RNA, 2439 nt
Organism: Rattus norvegicus (Norway rat)
Lineage: Eukaryota; Metazoa; Chordata; Mammalia; Rodentia; Muridae
Source: RefSeq, a predicted model, not a curated record
AUUGGCCCUCGUUUUUGGUAAAAGGGUGAGCGCAGAGUCGUCUGGGAAGUCAUGGCGUCGCUAAAUAGUAAGACUGCGAUCUGUGUGAUCUGCUCGGAGAAGCCGAAAUACCGCUGCCCAGCUUGCCGCGUGCCCUACUGCUCGGUCGCCUGUUUCCAGAAGCACAAAGAGCAGUGCAACUCUGAAGCACGUCCUGUUGAGAAAAGCCCAACAGUGGUUCCCGUAAGGACUGAGGAAAACAAAGGUGACGACUCCUCUAUAGCUGAUUUCCUCAACAGUGAUGAGGAAGACGAUAGAGUGUCUGUGCAGAGUUUAAAGAAUCUAGGUAAAUCAGAAACUUUAAGAAGCUUACUGCUCAACCCGCACCUGAGGCAGCUGAUGAUUAGCCUUGAUCAGGGCGACAACAAGGCGAAGCUGAUGAAAGCCUGCAUGCAGGAGCCCCUGUUCGUGGAGUUUGCAGACUGCUGUUUAAGAAUUGUGGAACCAUCCCAGAACAAAGAUUCUUAAAACUGGAUAUGCUGUCUGCUCAAGCCGCCCGCCCACUGCUCCGAGGAGGAGGUUUUCAGGCUGUGGUAGCACGUGUGGGUCUUUUCUAUCACAGCGCUCGCUGCAGAGCCUUUGUGAAGAGGAAACUUGCAGCCCGGAGAGAUGGCUCAGCAGCUAAAGAGCGCUGAUGCUUUUCCAGAGGACCCCAGCACCCACUUGACUACUUAACAACUGUAAUUAGCUCCAGAGGAUUGGACACCCUCUUCUGACCUCUGCAGGAAUGGAAAAAAUGUCUCAAAAGCAGCUGAAGGAAGCUUUUGUCAGUAACCUCAGUGGGACCAGUGUUCUGGAAGUGACCCAGGGCCUGUGCUUUCCUGCGUUCUGUAUCCUGUGUAGAGGCCUUCUGAUCAUUUUCUCACAGCAUUUGUGCUCUUUCUUGCACACCUGGACCACACAAUUCUUCAUGGACUUUGUUGUCUUGAUAGUCCCCCUAGUGAUCACUCUGACUGUAUUGUCUUCCUUUAUCCUCCUUGAGAAUCUCACUGUGAUUGUCUGUGGGGCGUGGCUGUUGUAUCAGAUAUACCACAGGAGGACUUGCUAUGCCAAAGUACCUGUCCAGAAAGUCUUUGCAAGCUUCUUGAAAAUCAGCCUAGAAUCAGAGUACAAUCCAGCCAUCACCUGUUACCGGGUCAUUAACAGUGUAUUUACUGCUAUUGCCAUUUUGGCUGUGGAUUUCCCACUUUUCCCUAGAAGAUUUGCCAAAACUGAACUUUAUGGGACAGGAGCAAUGGAUUUUGGAGUAGGUGGCUUUAUUUUUGGGGCUGCAAUGGUUUGCCCAGAGGUUAGAAGGAAAUAUACAGAAGGGUCUAGAUUUAAUCAUCUUAGAAAAUCGCUGUAUUCUGUCUGGCCAUUAGUCUUCUUAGGAAUGGGAAGGUUAGUCAUUAUAAAAUCCAUAGGCUACCAGGAACAUUCAACUGAGUAUGGAGUUCACUGGAAUUUUUUCUUUACCAUCAUAGUUGUGAAAUUAAUAACAUCACUGCUUUUGAUUAUUUUUCCUUUAAAUAAGUCAUGGAUUGUGGCCAUCAGCAUUACUGUGUUGUACCAGCUUGCCCUUGACUUUACUCCACUCAAGGGGAUAAUUUUGUAUGGCACUGAUGGCAGGGGCACAAGAGUUGGCUUAUUAAAUGCUAACCGAGAGGGAAUAAUUUCCACCUUGGGGUAUGUGGCAAUAUACAUGGCUGGUGUACAAACAGGAUUUUAUGUGUUCAAGAGAAGAGCACAGGUCAGAGACUGGAUAAAAGCUACUUGUUGGGUAUUCUCGGUGGCUGUUGGCUUCUUCAUUUCUCUUAAUAUAGUGCAAGUAAACGUAGAAGCAGUAUCUCGAAGAAUGGCCAAUUUAGCCUUUUGUCUGUGGGUGGUUGCCUCCAGCCUGAUGCUGCUUAGUUGUCUGUUACUGAGUGGUAUCGUUUUGAGUUUUGCCAAAUUUCUAAUUAAAGGGGCUCUAGUUCCAUGUUCUUGGAAACUUAUACAGUCUGCUACUACAAAUAGACAGUCUGAAUCUCUAAUCGUAGAAGCUGAAAAGAACAAACCCAGUUUUUGUUUGAUCACAGCUCUGAACAGAAACCAGUUGUUUUUUUUCUUACUGUCAAAUGUAGCAACUGGUCUGAUUAACCUGACGGUGGAUACAUUACACACUGGUGCCUUUUGGACCUUAGCUGUGCUUAGUAUUUAUAUGUUUGCCAACUGCUUAGUUAUAUAUGUACUUGACUUACAAGGUAAAACCAUAAAGUUCUGGUGAUAAAUGGGUAAGAAAUAUGUAUUUGAUUAGCAUUAUUUUGGUGGAGUAGAAUAAGUGUGGGGGAAAUGUGUUCUUAGCAGCCUAGUCUUAACCAUAUUUUAUUAUGAAGUUUCGAUCCCCUAUGAAAGAAAUUAAACUUUACCUUUUUUAAGGAA